RNAcentral lists this ribosomal RNA (966 nucleotides) under Pediococcus pentosaceus. Its description in RNAcentral is "bacterial SSU rRNA". It matches the Rfam family "Bacterial small subunit ribosomal RNA", at positions 46 to 974 of the family's 1533-position model. The record is from RNAcentral. Lineage: Bacteria; Bacillati; Bacillota; Bacilli; Lactobacillales; Lactobacillaceae.
GCUAUAAUGCAGUCGACGAACUUCCGUUAAUUGAUUAUGACGUACUUGUACUGAUUGAGAUUUUAACACGAAGUGAGUGGCGAACGGGUGAGUAACACGUGGGUAACCUGCCCAGAAGUAGGGGAUAACACCUGGAAACAGAUGCUAAUACCGUAUAACAGAGAAAACCGCAUGGUUUUCUUUUAAAAGAUGGCUCUGCUAUCACUUCUGGAUGGACCCGCGGCGUAUUAGCUAGUUGGUGAGGCAAAGGCUCACCAAGGCAGUGAUACGUAGCCGACCUGAGAGGGUAAUCGGCCACAUUGGGACUGAGACACGGCCCAGACUCCUACGGGAGGCAGCAGUAGGGAAUCUUCCACAAUGGACGCAAGUCUGAUGGAGCAACGCCGCGUGAGUGAAGAAGGGUUUCGGCUCGUAAAGCUCUGUUGUUAAAGAAGAACGUGGGUAAGAGUAACUGUUUACCCAGUGACGGUAUUUAACCAGAAAGCCACGGCUAACUACGUGCCAGCAGCCGCGGUAAUACGUAGGUGGCAAGCGUUAUCCGGAUUUAUUGGGCGUAAAGCGAGCGCAGGCGGUCUUUUAAGUCUAAUGUGAAAGCCUUCGGCUCAACCGAAGAAGUGCAUUGGAAACUGGGAGACUUGAGUGCAGAAGAGGACAGUGGAACUCCAUGUGUAGCGGUGAAAUGCGUAGAUAUAUGGAAGAACACCAGUGGCGAAGGCGGCUGUCUGGUCUGCAACUGACGCUGAGGCUCGAAAGCAUGGGUAGCGAACAGGAUUAGAUACCCUGGUAGUCCAUGCCGUAAACGAUGAUUACUAAGUGUUGGAGGGUUUCCGCCCUUCAGUGCUGCAGCUAACGCAUUAAGUAAUCCGCCUGGGGAGUACGACCGCAAGGUUGAACUCAAAAGAAUUGACGGGGCCCGCACAGCGGUGGAGCAUGUGGUUUAAUUCGAAGCUACGCGAAGAACCUUAC